Molecule: ribosomal RNA, 462 nt
Filed under: uncultured bacterium
Lineage: Bacteria
Description: bacterial SSU rRNA
Rfam family: Bacterial small subunit ribosomal RNA
Source: RNAcentral
GAGAUUGGGCUUGACAUCCACGAACCUGUGAAAGCAGGCCUUCUGGGCAACCAGACAGGGAGACAGGUGGUGCAUGGCUGUCGUCAGCUCGUGUCGUGAGAUGUUGGGUUAAGCCCCGCAACGAGCGCAACCCUCAUCAGGUGUUGCCAUCGGUUCGGCCGGGCACUCUCCUGAAACUGCCGGAGUAAUCCGGAGGAAGGUGGGGAUGACGCCAAGUCUGCAUGCCCCUUAUGCCCUGGGCUGCACACGUACUACAAUGGCCGGUACAAAGGGUUGCCAAGCCGCGAGGCGGAGCGAAUCCCAAAAAACCUCUCUCAGUUCGGAUUGCAGUCUGCAACUCGACUGCAUGAAGGUGGAGUCGCUAGUAAUCGCAGAUCAGCAGGCUGCGGUGAAUACGUUCCCGGGCCUUGUACACACCGCCCGUCACAUCACGAAAGUGGGCUGUACUCGAAGUCGCUGAGA